Marivirga sericea is the source of this 402-nucleotide non-coding RNA. NCBI's taxonomy places the organism in Bacteria, Pseudomonadati, Bacteroidota, Cytophagia, Cytophagales, Marivirgaceae. The record is from Rfam.
GGGGUUGACCGGUAUUGACGGUAAGUGUGAAUUAUGUAUUAGCAUGCAGGGUGGAGAAUGUACAUCCUUAAGUAAUUCAUUCCAACUAUAAUUGGCGAAUCUAAUUACGCCAUGGCUGCAUAAUCUUAAUUUAUUAAGAUAAAGCUUUAAGGGUUGAGUCCCCAAAAGGAUUCCCCAGCCACAUUCCUCGUUCCUUCGUUUUUCCGGGAGCGGUCAAGGAGUGUCGAAAGGAGAAACUAGCAUGGUGAUGCUAUUAAGCCAUUGCGAAACUAAAAUAGCUAAGGCCUGCAACAGGACUGUUACUUUCCAUAACAGGCUCGAAAACCUAAUUAGUAACUAAGCAUGUAGAAGAUGCAUCGUUUCCUUAUCCGGACGAGGGUUCGAAUCCCUCCAACUCCACAA